UGAGAACAUGUGGGCUGAAGUCGCACUGUGGCAGAGAGGGCAAAAUUAAAUCAAGGUCUCCUUGAUCCUGAGAACAUCAGCUCACUUGGCAUUGAUGAGAACACCACACCGUGAUUCUCCACCCCCAGUCAAAAAGGACUUGUUCUUGCACAGCUUUUGAAAGGAAGAGUUUGGCACCUUUGCAUUCUGGGCAAUGGAUGGAGGCUGAGCUUCAAAUAUUGCUGAAGAGAAUACAGAGCCAGUGAAGAGUCAACCCAUAUCAGGUGGAAGCAUAAAAUAUACAGAGCCAAAUGUUUCAAGGAGAGUCUGUAUCUCCUUCAUCACUGCUUGCCAGGCACAGCCCACAUAGUCCCUGUGGCAUCAAGCUGCAGAAGCAGGUCUGACAUCCGCAUGUUCUGCAGAGCAGGUAGCAAGACAAAGCAUAAGGUCAGUGAG
This is a long non-coding RNA of Lagopus leucura (white-tailed ptarmigan), 435 nucleotides long. RefSeq lists it as uncharacterized. The record is from RefSeq and is a predicted model, not a curated record. The transcript is spliced from 3 exons. NCBI's taxonomy places the organism in Eukaryota, Metazoa, Chordata, Aves, Galliformes, Phasianidae.